GUUCUGUAAGUUGAGCUAGCCGAGGCCCUGGUGUGGUGAUAUUGUGUCGCAGAGUCGAGAUCUCUGAUCGAUGAACCGUCAUUAAAUUCUCCCCUCCAUUUGCUCCUGCAGGGAACUCUGGAACAACGAUCUAUGCGGCGCGAUCCCGACUUCCGGACCGUUUCAGAACUUUCCUCCGAACAGCUUCGCCGGCAACCCGCGCCUGCGAAUCCCCGGCCAGCAGCAGGGAGCCGACUGCUAGAUCGACAUGGCAGCGGCCAGCGUGAAUAAGCGUAAGCGGGCGUCCAGGUUAAUUGCCAAGAGCUGGGAGUGUCAUUGCGAUGAUGCACGUAAUUAGCUGUGUGUGUGGAUGUGGCACAUCAGGGUGGGUGUCUAUCUCUUGUACAUGCCGUCCUGAUCAAGAGGUGAUCAGCCUCCAUAAUGAAAAUAUGCAAUCAAGCGCCUUGCCCUUUUGCCU
This is a long non-coding RNA of Lolium perenne, 457 nucleotides long. RefSeq lists it as uncharacterized. Lineage: Eukaryota; Viridiplantae; Streptophyta; Magnoliopsida; Poales; Poaceae. The record is from RefSeq and is a predicted model, not a curated record.